RNAcentral lists this ribosomal RNA (492 nucleotides) under uncultured bacterium. RNAcentral's name for it is "partial 16S ribosomal RNA". It matches the Rfam family "Bacterial small subunit ribosomal RNA", at positions 29 to 507 of the family's 1533-position model. The record is from RNAcentral.
AGUGAACGCUGGCGGUAGGCCUAACACAUGCAAGUCGAACGGCAGCACAGUAAGAGCUUGCUCUUACGGGUGGCGAGUGGCGGACGGGUGAGGAAUACAUCGGAAUCUACUUUUUCGUGGGGGAUAACGUAGGGAAACUUACGCUAAUACCGCAUACGACCUACGGGUGGAAGCAGGGGAUCUUCGGACCUUGCGCGAUUGAAUGAGCCGAUGUCGGAUUAGCUAGUUGGCGGGGUAAAGGCCAACCAAGGCGACGAUCCGUAGCUGGUCUGAGAGGAUGAUCGGCCACACUGGAACUGAGACACGGUCCAGACUCCUACGGGAGGCAGCAGUGGGGAAUAUUGGACAAUGGGCGCAAGCCUGAUCCAGCCAUACCGCGUGGGUGAAGAAGGCCUUCGGGUUGUAAAGCCCUUUUGUUGGGAAAGAAAAGCAGCAGGUUAAUACCCCGCUGUUCUGACGGUACCCAAAGAAUAAGCACCGGCUAACUUCGUG